GCAGCAUCAGCAUCGCUCUCAUCUCAGCCGCAGUUUUGCGCUAGACAAGUCAGAACAAUUUCUCACACGUAGCUUCUUAUUGCACUCACAACUUUGCAUCUAAGAAGAGAGCUCCGGGAAUUAAUACCAUUUAUUCGAGGAAGGCGAGUCGGUCAAAACGCUGUCCCUUGAUCUUACAGCGCUCUGGCAAAGAUGAAUUUUGUAUCGGUUGUUAUACUGACGUGCACCUUACUUGUGGGAACAUCUUUGGGGACCAAGGCAGGCCAACCUCCUACACCCACAUGCAGACCAGGCUUCUCUGAGAGCUUCUACACUGUGUUUGUCUCGAGGGAUCUACUGCGAGGCCAGAGCAUUCUCAAAGAAUGGCCCUAUAUCCCUCAAAGCCCCUAGAAGAUGACAUCCACCGCCAGCCCGUUCCAUUACCCCAGCCACCCAAGAUACAUAAGGUUGGAGGACAUCCCACCCCGACACAAGGACAUCCCACCCUGACACCCUGCUCUCCAGCGGCUAGAUGUUCUUUACCAUUCGGCCAUCAGAUUUGCCACUAAUGCUCCUUAUAGGACACAUCACUGCACUCUAU
Non-coding RNA from Salvelinus sp. IW2-2015, 580 nucleotides. The record is from RefSeq and is a predicted model, not a curated record. NCBI's taxonomy places the organism in Eukaryota, Metazoa, Chordata, Actinopteri, Salmoniformes, Salmonidae.